RNAcentral lists this unclassified non-coding RNA (194 nucleotides) under fungal sp. RNAcentral's name for it is "partial contains small subunit ribosomal RNA, internal transcribed spacer 1, and 5.8S ribosomal RNA". The stretch from base 1 to 47 matches the Rfam family "Eukaryotic small subunit ribosomal RNA", at positions 1785 to 1831 of the family's 1831-position model. The record is from RNAcentral. Lineage: Eukaryota; Fungi.
AAAGUCGUAACAAGGUUUCCGUAGGUGAACCUGCGAAAGGAUCAUCAUUAAAUCCAUUUAUACACCCUUGUGAACUGUGCGCUGAAGAUGCUACGCUUGUCGUGCAUCUUUCGUUGCAAAAACAACUUAAUUUAAUAAAGCUGAAGCAAUUAUUUUAAAUAAAACAACUUUCAACAAUGGAUCUCUUGGCUCUC